CCUUAAGAUAACCCUGGUAGUCCACCCCCGUAAACGUUGGGAACUUAGUUGUUGGGACCAUUCCACGGUUUCCCGUGACGCAGCUAACGCAUUAAGUUCCCCGCCUGGGGAGUACGGCCGCAAGGCUAAAACUCAAAGGAAUUGACGGGGACCCCGCACAAGCGGCGGAGCAUGCGGAUUAAUUCGAUGCAACGCGAAGAACCUUACCAAGGCUUGACAUAUACGAGAACGGGCCAGAAAUGGUCAACUCUUUGGACACUCGUAAACAGGUGGUGCAUGGUUGUCGUCAGCUCGUGUCGUGAGAUGUUGGGUUAAGUCCCGCAACGAGCGCAACCCUCGUUCUAUGUUGCCAGCACGUAAUGGUGGGAACUCAUGGGAUACUGCCGGGGUCAACUCGGAGGAAGGUGGGGAUGACGUCAAAUCAUCAUGCCCCUUAUGUCUUGGGCUUCACGCAUGCUACAAUGGCCGGUACAAAGGGCUGCAAUACCGUGAGGUGGAGCGAAUCCCAAAAAGCCGGUCCCAGUUCGGAUUGAGGUCUGCAACUCGACCUCAUGAAGUCGGAGUCGCUAGUAAUCGCAGAUCAGCAACGCUGCGGUGAAUACGUUCCCGGGUCUUGUACACACCGCCCGUCAAGUCAUGAAAGUCGGUAACACCUGAAGCCGGUGGCCCAACC
Molecule: ribosomal RNA, 673 nt
Filed under: Microbacterium sp. S39
Lineage: Bacteria; Bacillati; Actinomycetota; Actinomycetes; Micrococcales; Microbacteriaceae
Description: bacterial SSU rRNA
Rfam family: Bacterial small subunit ribosomal RNA
Source: RNAcentral